RNAcentral lists this ribosomal RNA (458 nucleotides) under uncultured Gaiellales bacterium. Its description in RNAcentral is "bacterial SSU rRNA". It matches the Rfam family "Bacterial small subunit ribosomal RNA", at positions 341 to 792 of the family's 1533-position model. Lineage: Bacteria; Bacillati; Actinomycetota; Thermoleophilia; Gaiellales. The record is from RNAcentral.
ACGGGAGGCAGCAGUGGGGAAUCUUGCGCAAUAGGGGAAACCCUGACGCAGCGACGCCGCGUGCGGGAAGAAGGCCUUCGGGUUGUAAACCGCUUUCAGGAGGGACGAAGCUACUCGGGUGAAUAGCCCAGAGGGUGACGGUACCUCCAGAAGAAGCCCCGGCUAACUACGUGCCAGCAGCCGCGGUAAUACGUAGGGGGCAAGCGUUGUCCGGAUUUAUUGGGCGUAAAGAGCGUGUAGGCGGCCAGGCAGGUCCGUUGUGAAAACUCGAGGCUCAACCUCGAGACGUCGAUGGAAACCGUCUGGCUAGAGUCCGGAAGAGGAGAGUGGAAUUCCUGGUGUAGCGGUGAAAUGCGCAGAUAUCAGGAAGAACACCUAUGGCGAAGGCAGCUCUCUGGGACGGUACUGACGCUGAGACGCGAAAGCGUGGGGAGCGAACAGGAUUAGAUACCCUGGUA